CCCUUAGAUGUUCGGGGCUGCACGCGCGCUACACUGAAGGAAUCAGCGUGGCUUUCUCCCUGACCCGAAAGGGUUGGGAAACCCGUUGAAUCUCCUUCGUGAUAGGGAUUGGGGCUUGAAAUUGUUCCCCAUGAACGAGGAAUUCCCAGUAAGCGCGAGUCAUAAGCUCGCGUUGAUUACGUCCCUGCCCUUUGUACACACCGCCCGUCGCUACUACCGAUUGAACGGUUUAGUGAGGGCCUCGGAUUGGUCUCGGCCCGCUCUUUACCGGGCGGCGCCGUUGGUCGAGAAGACGCUCGAACUUGAUCGUUUAGAGGAAGUAAAAGUCGUAACA
This 334-nucleotide ribosomal RNA is filed under the name uncultured eukaryote. RNAcentral describes it as "partial 18S ribosomal RNA". It matches the Rfam family "Eukaryotic small subunit ribosomal RNA", at positions 1470 to 1796 of the family's 1831-position model. The record is from RNAcentral.